RNAcentral lists this ribosomal RNA (1311 nucleotides) under Triticum aestivum (bread wheat). RNAcentral's name for it is "partial small subunit ribosomal RNA". The record is from RNAcentral. Lineage: Eukaryota; Viridiplantae; Streptophyta; Magnoliopsida; Poales; Poaceae.
AUGAUGCAGCCACCGCCGCCGUCGCAGCCGCAGCCGGGCAUGGGCGCCCCCAUGCCGCCGCAGGGCGCGGGAGGGCAGCCGCCGCACUGGGGCGCGAUCCCGCCGCCGAUGCCCCACUACGCGCAGCCGCCCCCGCAGCAGCAGCCGCCGCCGCAGGCCAUGUGGGGCCAGCCGCCGCCCCAGGCCGCGCCCUACGGCCAGGUGCCCGCCCCGCAGCAGUACUACGCCGCGCCGCAGGCCCCCGCCGCCCCCGCGGCCUCGGACGAGGUCAGGACGCUCUGGAUCGGGGACCUCCAGUACUGGAUGGACGAGAACUACAUCUACAGCUGCUUCGCCAACACCGGGGAGUUCCAAUCUGUGAAGCUUAUCCGUGACAAGCAAACUGGACAGCUUCAGGGCUAUGGCUUUGUCGAGUUUGCAAGCCAUGCAGGCGCUGAGCGAGUUCUUCAGACAUUCAAUGGUCAAAUGAUGCCAAAUGUUGAGUUGGCAUACAGACUGAACUGGGCCAGUGCUGGUGAAAAGCGUGAUGAUACCCCGGACUAUACAAUCUUUGUUGGGGAUUUGGCAGCUGAUGUUACAGACUACAUGUUACAGGAGACAUUCAGGGUCCAUUACCCUUCAGUGAAGGGCGCAAAGGUUGUAACUGACAAGAUGACAAUGCGUUCAAAAGGUUAUGGGUUUGUGAAGUUUGGUGACCCUACAGAGCAAGCUCGUGCCAUGACUGAAAUGAAUGGAAUGCCCUGUUCUUCCAGACCUAUGCGCAUUGGUCCAGCAGCAAAUAGAAAGACAACUGGGGUUCAGGAGAGAGUACCAAUUCCAAAUACAAAUACUCAAGGAGCUCAGUCUGACAAUGAUCCUAACAAUACCACCAUAUUUGUUGGUGGCCUUGACCCCAAUGUCACUGAAGAUGCCUUGAAACAAGUGUUUGCUCCAUAUGGGGAAGUUGUCCAUGUCAAGAUCCCUGUUGGGAAGAGAUGUGGCUUUGUUCAGUAUGCUAACAGGCCUUCUGCUGAGCAAGCUCUGCAAUUGCUGCAAGGGACCUUGGUUGGUGGUCAGAAUGUGAGGCUUUCAUGGGGACGAAGCCCUUCAAACAAACAAACUCAGCCUCAGGAAGCCAGCCAGUGGGGUGCAGGUGCUGCUGCUGGUGCUGCUGGUGGUUACUAUGCUGGAUAUGGACAAGGCUACGAGGCUUAUGGACAAGGGUAUGCACAGCCUCAAGACCCUAACAUGUAUGGUUAUGGAGCCUAUGCUGGUUAUCCCAACUACCAACAACCAGCAGCGGCACCGCAGCCACCGCCACCGCAACAGUGA